This 550-nucleotide ribosomal RNA is filed under the name Rhodotorula glutinis. RNAcentral's name for it is "eukaryotic LSU rRNA". It matches the Rfam family "Eukaryotic large subunit ribosomal RNA", at positions 92 to 655 of the family's 3401-position model. The record is from RNAcentral. Lineage: Eukaryota; Fungi; Basidiomycota; Microbotryomycetes; Sporidiobolales; Sporidiobolaceae.
AGCGAGCGGGAAGAGCUCAAAUUUAUAAUCUGGCACCUUCGGUGUCCGAGUUGUAAUCUCUAGAAGUGUUUUCCGCGUUGGACCGCACACAAGUCUGUUGGAAUACAGCGGCAUAGUGGUGAAACCCCCGUAUAUGGUGCGGACGCCCAGCGCUUUGUGAUACACUUUCAAUGAGUCGAGUUGUUUGGGAAUGCAGCUCAAAUUGGGUGGUAAAUUCCAUCUAAAGCUAAAUAUUGGCGAGAGACCGAUAGCGAACAAGUACCGUGAGGGAAAGAUGAAAAGCACUUUGGAAAGAGAGUUAACAGUACGUGAAAUUGUUGGAAGGGAAACGCUUGAAGUCAGACUUGCUUGCCGGAGCUUGCUUCGGUUUGCAGGCCAGCAUCAGUUUUCCGGGGUGGAUAAUGACGGUUUGAAGGUAGCAGUCUCGGCUGUGUUAUAGCUUUCCGUUGGAUACAUCCUGGGGGACUGAGGAACGCAGCGUGCUUUUUGCGAAAGACUCGUCUUUUUCACGCUUAGGAUGCUGGUGGAAUGGCUUUAAACGACCCGUCUU